CCCGGCUUAGCUCAGUUGGUAGAGCGGCGGACUGUAGAGGGAAUCCACGGCAUGGAAAACCGCCGUAAUCCGCAGGUCUCUGGUUCAAAUCCGGAAGCCGGGA
Transfer RNA from Thermoplasmatales archaeon A-plasma, 103 nucleotides. It matches the Rfam family "tRNA". Rfam says of the family: Transfer RNA (tRNA) molecules are approximately 80 nucleotides in length. Their secondary structure includes four short double-helical elements and three loops (D, anti-codon, and T loops). Further hydrogen bonds mediate the characteristic L-shaped molecular structure. tRNAs have two regions of fundamental functional importance: the anti-codon, which is responsible for specific mRNA codon recognition, and the 3' end, to which the tRNAs corresponding amino acid is attached (by aminoacyl-tRNA synthetases). tRNAs cope with the degeneracy of the genetic code in two manners: having more than one tRNA (with a specific anti-codon) for a particular amino acid; and 'wobble' base-pairing, i.e. permitting non-standard base-pairing at the 3rd anti-codon position. NCBI's taxonomy places the organism in Archaea, Methanobacteriati, Thermoplasmatota, Thermoplasmata, Thermoplasmatales. The record is from Rfam.